Molecule: long non-coding RNA, 1338 nt
Organism: Apis dorsata (giant honeybee)
Lineage: Eukaryota; Metazoa; Arthropoda; Insecta; Hymenoptera; Apidae
Exons: 3
Source: RefSeq, a predicted model, not a curated record
CUCUUCAAUUAUUCCGUUUCUUGAAAAUUAUAAAAAUUUAUUAUACUAUUACAUUAUAUUAUAACUUAUAUAAAACUACUAAAUUAUCCAUGUAUAUUAUUAUGAAUACUUCAUAUUCAUUAUACAUUCAACGCUCCGAUAAAAAAGUUAUUAAUCCACUAAAACAGCAAUCAUAGUUAAUCAUACUCGAUAAAAACUAAUUAAUCAGCAUUAUUAAAAAAAAAUAUCCAUGAUAAUCGAACUACAAAUAAUAAAUUAAAAAAAUCACAACAUGUCAUUUUCCUUAGCAAAAUUCCAUACUAGAAUUCUGAUGUUAAAUGAUUGAAUUCUGAUUCUGAUGUUGAAUGAUGAGAAAGAAAAAUGAUUUUAAUUCGAAUCAUUGAACGAUUAGCUUUUCAAAGAUGUUGCCCCUGGAAUUCGAAUUAAAUAAAUCACCGUCAGGCUUGGUGAAACCUUUUCGUACUCGAAGUACAGAAAGGUUUCGUCUCGGUUUCCCUCGUACAAUCCCCUUAACUCGGAGUGGAUCGAACUCUGGUGCAUGCUCGAGGUUCUCGAGAUCGCAUCUCUUCACGAAUGCUCUCACGUGAUACCACUAUAAUGUCAUACGUCGUAACGAUCGGUGCAUAGUAAUAGUCCAAGAACAAACCUGUCACGUUACACGUGGCCAUGUAUAUGGACAAACAUGUAUACAGAUAUAAAUCAUUCCACUCAUACAUGGACGAAUUUACACAGACAUGUCAACUGACCGAUCGAUCGAAUUAAUAUUCUCGAUUGUUGAAGCAUAGAAUCGAUGCACAUUGGAAUUCCUCUUGGUUGAGUGCACAAGCUGUAUUGUAAACUCUUCAAGUGGAUUUUACAUCGUACAAGCGCAUCAAGUGCUGAUGUAUACAUAGAUACAGAAGUCGAAGAAAAUGACCGUCACCGAGAAACGAGCGUAGUAGCAUUUCGUAAAUCUCGCCUGUUUAAACCGUAUCGGUUGGCUUUUCGAGGGCCGAGAGGUGACGGAGGCGGUGGUGGCUGCGUCUUCUUACGUUGACGCGAUAAAGCGUGGUUGAAAGGGGGUUAGGGGGAUCCGGAGGGGCCCUGGAUUGACGUCAUUCGAUGACGUCAACCAGGACUGUGUCAAAACCGCUCAGGAACCAUGUGCACAGUCGAAUAUCCUGACUACGUGACCUAGUGCAGCUGUUCACUCCGCGAAACGAAGUUUUGUAAUACGCUUUUUCGACCAUUUUUUUCAACGAAUCGAGUGUAAUUUGUGGAGAUUAGAUUUGGGGAGGAAGGGAAAAUGGGAAUCUUGAUUCCUUGAGGAUGUCUUGAAUAAUGUGGAUUAAGACAUUG